CUACGGGAGGCUGCAGUGAGAAAUAUUGCACAAUGGGGGGAACCCUGAUGCAGCAACGCCGCGUGGAGGAUGACGCAUUUCGGUGUGUAAACUCCUUUUAUAUGUCAAGAAAAUGACGGUAGCAUAUGAAUAAGCACCGGCUAACUCCGUGCCAGCAGCCGCGGUAAUACGGAGGGUGCAAGCGUUACUCGGAAUCACUGGGCGUAAAGGACGCGUAGGCGGGUUGGAAAGUCAGGUGUGAAAUCCUACAGCUUAACUGUAGAACUGCACUUGAAACUUCUAAUCUAGAGUAUGGGAGGGGGAGAUGGAAUUAGUGGUGUAGGGGUAAAAUCCGUAGAUAUCACUAGGAAUACCUAAAGCGAAGGCGAUCUCCUGGAACAUUACUGACACUAAGGCGUGAAAGCGUGGGGAGCAAACAGGAUUAGAUACCCUAGUAGUC
This 439-nucleotide ribosomal RNA is filed under the name uncultured bacterium. RNAcentral's name for it is "partial 16S ribosomal RNA". It matches the Rfam family "Bacterial small subunit ribosomal RNA", at positions 339 to 795 of the family's 1533-position model. The record is from RNAcentral.